This 477-nucleotide ribosomal RNA is filed under the name uncultured Pseudomonadota bacterium. RNAcentral describes it as "bacterial SSU rRNA". It matches the Rfam family "Bacterial small subunit ribosomal RNA", at positions 355 to 824 of the family's 1533-position model. The record is from RNAcentral. Lineage: Bacteria; Pseudomonadati; Pseudomonadota.
UGGGGAAUUUUGGACAAUGGGGGCAACCCUGAUCCAGCCAUGCCGCGUGUGUGAAGAAGGCCUUCGGGUUGUAAAGCACUUUCGGACGGAACGAAAUCGCGCGAUCUAAUAAGUCGCGUGGAUGACGGUACCGUAAGAAGAAGCACCGGCAAACUACGUGCCAGCAGCCGCGGUAAUACGUAGGGUGCGAGCGUUAAUCGGAAUUACUGGGCGUAAAGUGUGCGCAGGUGGCUGAGCAAGUCGAGCGUGAAAUCCCCGGGCUUAACUUGGGAAUUGCGCUCGAAACUACUUGGCUCGAGUGUGGCAGAGGAAGGUGGAAUUCCAGGUGUAGCGGUGAAAUGCGUAGAGAUCUGGAGGAACACCGAUGGCGAAGGCGGCCUUCUGGGCCAACACUGACGCUCAUGCACGAAAGCGUGGGGAGCAAACAGGAUUAGAUACCCUGGUAGUCCACGCCCUAAACGAUGAUGACUAGUUGUU